Molecule: ribosomal RNA, 249 nt
Filed under: uncultured prokaryote
Description: partial 16S ribosomal RNA
Rfam family: Bacterial small subunit ribosomal RNA
Source: RNAcentral
UACGGAGGAUGCAAGCGUUAUCCGGAUUCAUUGGGUUUAAAGGGUGCGCAGGCGGGCAUUUAAGUCAGUGGUGAAAUUUUGCAGCUUAACUGUAACAGUGCCGUUGAUACUGGGGAGCUAGGAUUUGGUUGCUGUGGGUGGAAUGUGUGGUGUAGCGGUGAAAUGCUUAGAGAUCACACAGAAUAUCGAUUGCGAAGGCAGCUCACAAAGCCAAGAUUGACGCUGAGGCACGAAAGUGUGGGGAUCAAA